RNAcentral lists this ribosomal RNA (528 nucleotides) under uncultured eukaryote. Its description in RNAcentral is "partial 18S ribosomal RNA". It matches the Rfam family "Eukaryotic small subunit ribosomal RNA", at positions 561 to 1029 of the family's 1831-position model. The record is from RNAcentral.
CUGGUGCCAGCAGCCGCGGUAAUUCCAGCUCCAAUAGCGUAUAUUAAAGUUGUUGCAGUUAAAAGAGCUCGUAGUUGGAUCUUGGAACGUUUGUUUCGUCCAUUCUUUACGGGAUGGGCGGGACACUUGAUAUAACAUCUGGUCCGCUCGAUAAGAGUGUGUACUGAUGUUGACGUUCUUACAAACCUUUCCAGUUUAUCCACCUCUGUCAUUCACUUGGCGGGGGAAUAAUGGAUCUGGAACAUUUACUUUGAAAAAAUUAGAGUGUUCAAAGCAGACAAGUAAUUGUCAUUGAAUAGUUCAGCAUGGGAUAAUAGAAUAGGACCACGUUCUUAUUUUCAGUUGGUUUUUAAGAGUGUGGUAAUGAUUAAUAGGAACGGUCGGGGGCAUUGGUAUUUAGUUGUCAGAGGUGAAAUUCUUAGAUUUACGAAAGACCAACAUGGGCGAAAGCAUUUGCCAAGGACGUUUUCAUUAAUCAAGAACGAAAGUUUGGGGAUCGAAGACGAUCAGAUACCGUCGUAGUCCAAA